This is a long non-coding RNA of Nanorana parkeri, 112 nucleotides long. RefSeq lists it as uncharacterized. NCBI's taxonomy places the organism in Eukaryota, Metazoa, Chordata, Amphibia, Anura, Dicroglossidae. The record is from RefSeq and is a predicted model, not a curated record. The transcript has 3 exons.
CAGUAACAGGAGUCUGGUGCAGGAGUCUGGAGCAGGAGCUGGAACAGGAUCUGGAGCAGGAGCAUGGUGCAGGAUCUGGAGCAGGAGCAUGGUGCAGGAGUCUGGAGCAGGA